Non-coding RNA from Streptomyces griseofuscus, 75 nucleotides. Lineage: Bacteria; Bacillati; Actinomycetota; Actinomycetes; Kitasatosporales; Streptomycetaceae. The record is from Rfam.
CUUCAGCGAGCCCAGCCACAGCGGCUGCCCCUCGGGCCGCUCCCGUCCAUAGGUGGCGAGGAGUGCCUGCGCCUC